Molecule: ribosomal RNA, 497 nt
Filed under: uncultured bacterium
Lineage: Bacteria
Description: partial 16S ribosomal RNA
Rfam family: Bacterial small subunit ribosomal RNA
Source: RNAcentral
GAUGAACGCUGGCGGCGUGCCUAAUACAUGCAAGUCGAGCGAACAGACGAGGAGCUUGCUCCUCUGACGUUAGCGGCGGACGGGUGAGUAACACGUGGAUAACCUACCUAUAAGACUGGGAUAACUUCGGGAAACCGGAGCUAAUACCGGAUAAUAUAUUGAACCGCAUGGUUCAAUAGUGAAAGACGGUUUUGCUGUCACUUAUAGAUGGAUCCGCGCCGCAUUAGCUAGUUGGUAAGGUAACGGCUUACCAAGGCAACGAUGCGUAGCCGACCUGAGAGGGUGAUCGGCCACACUGGAACUGAGACACGGUCCAGACUCCUAUGGGAGGCAGCAGUAGGGAAUCUUCCGCAAAGGGCGAAAGCCUGACGGAGCAACGCCGCGUGAGUGAUGAAGGUCUUCGGAUCGUAAAACUCUGUUAUUAGGGAAGAACAAAUGUGUAAGUAACUAUGCACGUCUUGACGGUACCUAAUCAGAAAGCCACGGCUAACUACGUG